RNAcentral lists this ribosomal RNA (220 nucleotides) under uncultured bacterium. RNAcentral's name for it is "partial 16S ribosomal RNA". It matches the Rfam family "Bacterial small subunit ribosomal RNA", at positions 27 to 244 of the family's 1533-position model. The record is from RNAcentral.
GGACGAACGCUGGCGGCGUGCUUAACACAUGCAAGUCGAGCGGGUAAGGCCCGUUUCGGGGGGUACACGAGCGGCGAACGGGUGAGUAACACGUGGGUGACCUGCUCUCAGCUCUGGGAUAAGCCUGGGAAAACCGGGUCUAAUACUGGAUAUGACUCCAUGACGCAUGUUGUGGGGUGGAAAGCCUUGUGCGGCUGAGGAUGGGCCCGCGGCCUAUCAG